UGUAUCUGAAGCCUGAAGAGGAUGAGAACCUCCGGGGGCAAGAGGUUCGACUCGAGCGACGCGAGAGAACGUUGCGUCAGCAACGGCCCGCAGGGCGAGUCAUCCUCUAUCACCGACCA
RNAcentral lists this small RNA (119 nucleotides) under Salmonella enterica. RNAcentral's name for it is "RtT sRNA". It matches the Rfam family "RtT RNA". Rfam says of the family: This family represents a bacterial cis-regulatory element known as RtT RNA. The record is from RNAcentral. RNAcentral also lists the same sequence under 2 other names. Lineage: Bacteria; Pseudomonadati; Pseudomonadota; Gammaproteobacteria; Enterobacterales; Enterobacteriaceae.